CAGCAGCCACGGGAACACGUAGGGUGCAAGCGUUAAUCGGAAUUACUGGGCGUAAAGCGUGCGCAGGCGGUUAUAUAAGACAGAUGUGAAAUCCCCGGGCUCAACCUGGGAACUGCAUUUGUGACUGUAUAGCUAGAGUACGGCAGAGGGGGAUGGAAUUCCGCGUGUAGCAGUGAAAUGCGUAGAUAUGCGGAGGAACACCGAUGGCGAAGGCAAUCCCCUGGGCCUGUACUGACGCUCAUGCACGAAAGCGUGGGGAGCAAACAGGAUUAGAUACCCCCGUAGUCCCUGUCUCUUAUAC
RNAcentral lists this ribosomal RNA (301 nucleotides) under uncultured bacterium. RNAcentral describes it as "partial 16S ribosomal RNA". It matches the Rfam family "Bacterial small subunit ribosomal RNA", at positions 509 to 807 of the family's 1533-position model. The record is from RNAcentral.